CUACCUGGUUGAUCCUGCCAGUAGUCAUAUGCUUGUCUCAAAGAUUAAGCCAUGCAUGUGUAAGUAUAAACUCUUUUGUACAGUGAAACUGCGAA
This 95-nucleotide ribosomal RNA is filed under the name Jamesonia imbricata. RNAcentral's name for it is "partial 18S ribosomal RNA". It matches the Rfam family "Eukaryotic small subunit ribosomal RNA", at positions 1 to 93 of the family's 1831-position model. The record is from RNAcentral. Lineage: Eukaryota; Viridiplantae; Streptophyta; Polypodiopsida; Polypodiales; Pteridaceae.